RNAcentral lists this ribosomal RNA (467 nucleotides) under uncultured bacterium. RNAcentral's name for it is "partial 16S ribosomal RNA". It matches the Rfam family "Bacterial small subunit ribosomal RNA", at positions 28 to 506 of the family's 1533-position model. The record is from RNAcentral.
GACGAACGCUGGCGGCGUGCUUAACACAUGCAAGUCGAACGGAAAGGCCCUGCUUUUGUGGGGUGCUCGAGUGGCGAACGGGUGAGUAACACGUGAGUAACCUGCCCUUGACUUUGGGAUAACUUCAGGAAACUGGGGCUAAUACCGGAUAGGAGCUCCUGCUGCAUGGUGGGGGUUGGAAAGUUUCGGCGGUUGGGGAUGGACUCGCGGCUUAUCAGCUUGUUGGUGGGGUAGUGGCUUACCAAGGCUUUGACGGGUAGCCGGCCUGAGAGGGUGACCGGCCAAAUUGGGACUGGGAAACGGCCCAGACCCCCACGGGAGGCAGGAGUGGGGAAUAUUGCAAAAUGGGCGGAAGCCGGAUGCAGCAACGCCGGGUGGGGGAUGACGGCCUUCGGGUUGUAAACCGCUUUCGCCUGUGACGAAGGGUGGGUGACGGGAAUGGGUAAAGAAGCACCGGCUAACUACGU